UGAGGAAUAUUGGGCAAUGCCCGAAAGGGUGACCCAGCAACGCCGCGUGGAGGAUGAAGGUCGUAAGAUUGUAAACUCCUGUUAGAGGGGAAGAAUAACUAAGUUUGGAGCUUAGUAUGACUGUACCCCUCAGAGAAACGCCCCGGCUAACUACGUGCCAGCAGCCGCGGUAAUACGGUAGGGGGCAAGCGUUGUCCGGUAUUUACGUGGGUAGUAAAGGGCGCGCAGGGCGGAAUGGAAAGUCAGUGGUAGAAAUCCUACAGCUUAACUGUAGAACUGCCUUUGAUACUUUCAUUCUUGAGUUCGGGAGAGAGAGACGGAAUUCCAGGUGUAGUGGUGAAAUACGUAGAUAUCUGGAAGAACACCAGUUGCGAAGGCGGUCUCUUGGUCCGAUACUGACGCUGAGGCGCGAAAGCGUGGGGAGCAAACAGGAUUAGAUACCCUUGUAG
This 449-nucleotide ribosomal RNA is filed under the name uncultured bacterium. Its description in RNAcentral is "bacterial SSU rRNA". It matches the Rfam family "Bacterial small subunit ribosomal RNA", at positions 355 to 793 of the family's 1533-position model. The record is from RNAcentral.